This 471-nucleotide ribosomal RNA is filed under the name uncultured Bacillus sp. RNAcentral describes it as "bacterial SSU rRNA". It matches the Rfam family "Bacterial small subunit ribosomal RNA", at positions 910 to 1382 of the family's 1533-position model. Lineage: Bacteria; Bacillati; Bacillota; Bacilli; Caryophanales; Bacillaceae. The record is from RNAcentral.
UUGACGGGGCCCGCACAAGCGGUGGAGCAUGUGGUUAAUUCGAAGCAACGCGAAGAACCUUACCAGGCCUUGACAUGCAGAGAACUUUCCAGAGAUGGAUUGGUGCCUUCGGGAACUCUGACACAGGUGCUGCAUGGCUGUCGUCAGCUCGUGUCGUGAGAUGUUGGGUUAAGUCCCGUAACGAGCGCAACCCUUGUCCUUAGUUACCAGCACGUUAUGGUGGGCACUCUAAGGAGACUGCCGGUGUUAAACCGGAGGAAGGUGGGGAUGACGUCAAGUCCUCAUGGCCUUUAUGACCAGGGCUACACACGUACUACAAUGGCCGAUACAAAGGGCAGCGACACUGCGAGGUGAAGCCAAUCCCGUAAAAUCGGUCUCAGUCCGGAUUGGAGUCUGCAACUCGACUCCAUGAAGUUGGAAUCGCUAGUAAUCGUGGAUCAGCAUGCCACGGUGAAUACGUUCCCGGGCCUU